RNAcentral lists this ribosomal RNA (400 nucleotides) under phytoplankton environmental sample. Its description in RNAcentral is "partial small subunit ribosomal RNA". It matches the Rfam family "Eukaryotic small subunit ribosomal RNA", at positions 587 to 993 of the family's 1831-position model. The record is from RNAcentral.
AGCUCCAAUAGCGUAUAUUAAAGUUGUUGCAGUUAAAAAGCUCGUAGUCGGAACUCGGGCUGGGGGUCUGUGCCCAGCACUGCUGCGUGUGCAGGGCCCCGGUCUUCCUUCUGGCUUUGCGGGGUGCCCUUGAUUGGGUGCUGCGUGGAGGUCAGGACGUUUACUGUGAAAAAAUUAGAGUGUUUAAAGCAGGCAAUUGCUGUGAAUACAUUAGCAUGGAAUAAUAGAAUAGGACUAUGGUCUUGUUUUGUUGGUUCAUUUGACCAAAGUAAUGAUUAAUAGGGACAGUUGGGGGCAUUCGUAUUUCAUUGUCAGAGGUGAAAUUCUUGGAUUUAUGAAAGACGAACUGCUGCGAAAGCGUCUGCCAAGGAUGUUUUCAUUGAUCAAGAACGAAAGUACG